GGUCCGUGUACGUUUUGAUAGUUUGUUUUUUCGAUUGAAACACAAAACAAAAUAACGAGAAACCACCUGUUUUUCGUUUGUCGUUUCAAACCAAAAUCAAAGAAACAGUAAAAAAAGAGCCGUUCUCUCGUUUUUGGUUCUAAAUCCAAAAACGAAAAAUGACAAAACCAAAAUCAAAUAACGGUCCGAUUUUGGUUUUUUGAAAUUCCUUUUUCCAUUUUUUCGUUUGAAGAUCUACAUUGAAAUACAGACAGGUUGGCCACGUGACCCGGAAGGAAUAGUAAAUAUGGUCUAUCAAAAUAAAAGCCAAGCUUUUAGAACGGUCAUAAUAUGCAGCGCUAACGUUAUACGAGAAGUUAAGAAGUUAAGCUUUUUAGACAGCGAUUUCUUGUCUCAGUGUGUAAAAGCAUUUUUCUUCUUCACCUUAGAAGAAGAAAAAUCUAUUAAUAAAUAGCCUUAUAUAAACCUGGACCGGAAUAAAUAUGUUAGCAACAGUAGUUUAUUACAGCUAUUUAAUAUCGUGCCUAUCCAGACAUCACCAGUCACGUUUAAUGAGCGCAUUGUUUGGCUCAAUACAGUUGGUAAUAUAGGUUAACCUAAGAACUUAUUGUGUGUGCAGAGUUGUUACUGUUAGCGCUAUAUUAUAUAAUAAAAUUUAUAUUUAAUGUGGUUUCCACCGUAAUGGAUAACUGUUCCCCCUUUCUACCAGCAGGUGGCAGUAUUUAAAUGACUGACUGUAUGGUGUCUUUGGUAACUGUUUUAAAUCAAGAUUACUGAUACAGAUGUAUUUAUUGUUGUUCAUUUUAUUUUGUUUUUAUUUGCCUAGUUAUCAUCAUCAUCAUCAUCAUUCACCCAGCCCAGAGUUAAACCUGCUUCUGUUUUAACCUGAUUAUAACACUGCACUGCUAUCAGCUUCUUAUAGCAGCUCAGACAACAAACUCACAUCAGACAUGUCCUAAUCCUAAUGUAGGCCAUCUAGCCAAAAUAAUGAUUUACCAGUGUGCUAUAUACUUUGUGAAUCUUUCUUCUCUAUACACAUUCCAGUUUGUAUAACAUACAAAACUCUGAUUGUGUCAUGCCAGUGAAGAGAAUCCAUAAAAGUCUUAAAAUUUUAUAUAGCACAUACAUGCUUUCAAGGGCAUUGCAUGUACAAUCAAUGGCUGCAGAACAUUUGUUAAGCCCUAAGGUAAGAACAUUUUACAAGGUCCUCAAAAGAAAACCCCAAAACAUAAUUACAUUACUAAAAACAGGCUGUCAACGCUGAUUACAUCAGGAAUAACUGCAACAAAACGUUUCCAGUAACUUUUGAUAUGUCCUGCUUAUUGACUUGGACGAAUCUUUGCCCAUUCCUCUGUACAGAACAGCUUCAACUCUUGGAUGUUGGUGGGUUUCCUCACAUGAGCUGCUUGCUUCCUCAUCCUUCCACAACAUUUCAAUCAUUUUAAGGUCAUAACUUUUGACUCUGCCUUUCCAAAACAUUCACUUUAUUCUUCUUUAAGAUGUGAUGGAAAACCCAGUUGUGGCACCGUGCUGCCGCAGCCUCGUUGGAUGCCGGGUCUGCGUUGAGCAGUGGGCAACUACCUCGCCGCACUGCCCAAAAUGCAGGGACGAGAUGUUCCAAGAAAAAAAAAAAUUUAAAUUACAGGGAUGGGGGAGAUUGUGAAUGUUUUGAAAGACACUAUUAGUUAGGAGAUUGUUUUAGUUAGUUUUUAUUUUAGGUUUAGGUUUUAAGUUAAGUCAAAUGGUUAAGUUUGGUUAUGUUCAUCUGUUAUGUUAUUUUAUGCAAUUAAUAAAUUGUUCAAUUUUAUUUUCUAUUACUCUCACUUGCAGAACUCCUUUUGUUGUAUUCAUUUUAUGUUAUUUUAUGCAAAUAAUAAAUUAAUAUAAAUAUUUUAAUAAAAUAAAUUAUGUUCACUUUCA
Molecule: long non-coding RNA, 1920 nt
Organism: Carassius auratus (goldfish)
Lineage: Eukaryota; Metazoa; Chordata; Actinopteri; Cypriniformes; Cyprinidae
Exons: 2
Source: RefSeq, a predicted model, not a curated record